This is a long non-coding RNA of Topomyia yanbarensis, 447 nucleotides long. RefSeq lists it as uncharacterized. The transcript has 2 exons. NCBI's taxonomy places the organism in Eukaryota, Metazoa, Arthropoda, Insecta, Diptera, Culicidae. The record is from RefSeq and is a predicted model, not a curated record.
UUGUUUUGAUUACUUUUUGUGUGCUUUUUGAAGUGUCAAAAUUACUGUUUUUCAAAUGAAAACGGGUCGAUAAAUUUGUCCGUUGUUUAAUUUAAUUAUGUUUUUGGUAAUAAGUUAGUUAACGUUUCGCGUUCUGCUCAUCAGUAUACGACAGCCGUUUUAACCACCGUGUAGACGUUUAGUUCAAAAGCUCAUCAAUGCCAGAUGGACAGAGGCGUAGAAAUCAAAGUAAUCUCACACAAAGGAAUGAUACAUGUUUAUUUAUAUAAUAUACACACACUUAUGAGAAGCAAUUGAGCAACACUAACAACGCUAUUGCCUAAAAUUAUAAGGAUUCCGGCGAAAAUCAACGGUCACUUAGCUGCUGCCUCCUUCACGAUUACUGCCUAUGCCUAGAAAUAGAUGAAUAAAUUUCCCUCAGUUUGCCUACUAUACUGAAAACAUGUA